RNAcentral lists this long non-coding RNA (1189 nucleotides) under Homo sapiens (human). Its description in RNAcentral is "small nucleolar RNA host gene 17, transcript variant 50 (SNHG17)". The record is from RNAcentral. Lineage: Eukaryota; Metazoa; Chordata; Mammalia; Primates; Hominidae.
AGUCCUUCGCCGUCCCUCGCCGUCCUUCGCCAUCGCACGCCACCGCACCCCAUCUCUCGAAAUCUGCAGACAUCUUGAUUUUUCCCACGCUGUCUGUCAGGUCUCCGCCGCCACUCGACGCCAGGGCGCCGGGUGAGUCCACAGCAGGGCGCAUGGUCGGCUCCACUCUCACCAUCGGGGGAAACUGAGGCCCCGGGGAAGGCGGCCAGAGAGGUCAGGCCCUGUCCUUGGUGCAGUGUCUCGUCCUCUUUGCCGGAGUGAGCCCCCCAGGAUUCGCGUGUCCUCGGGAAAGACACUGGCAGGCCUUGUGGGCUGUGCUGCACCUCGGACGGCUUCGCACCAGCCAGCGCCCUCUCUCUCCUGCAGCACUCUGAUCUGCACCCCCUGAGGGGCUUCCACUGUCCGCGGGGUGAGAAUGCCCCUGGGAGUGUCACAUGACUGCCGCCCCAUGUGUGUGAGAGGCGUCCUCUGGGAGAGCAUGGAUCCUGAGGUCCCAGGAACAUCCCGAGAGCCAAGUUCCCAGAUGCCAGCCAAGGGCCAUCUGACCUGUUUUGAAUCUCAAUUUCCUGAUACAGAAAACAAAGGAUUGUCAGCUGACCUCUGUCCUGUGUGCCCAGUGGCCCCAGGUGACGUGUCUUCAAGAAGAGGCUGAGCUGCGGUGCUUGUAAGGGUCUCAUUCUGUCACCCAGGCUGGAGUGCAGUGGUGCAAUGAUGGCUCACUGCAGCCUCGACCUGGGCUCAAGUGAUCCUCCACCUCAGCUUCCUGAGUAGCUGGGACCACAGGUCUCAGCCUUAGAUCCAAGGACAGUCCAAGGAAGUCCUAAGACCAUGGAGUUGGUGAUCUGGGAUCUGGGUUUGCUGAUAUUUCUCACCGUGAAUCUCUUGGUGGUGUUUGUGGGCACGAGAGGGGCAGAGAAUGGAGAGUGAGGCUACCACAUGAAGCGUCACCAGAGCUGCUCCCUGCUGCCUGCUCAGAGCACCCCGGAUCCACUGUUCAAUCUGCACAAGAUUCGGGGUCCAGACAUGGGAGACUUCAGCUGCCUCAGAGGACCGUGGACAGGGAAGGCCAGCCUCGCAUCCCUCUGUCCAUGCCUGGAAUGACUUUAAUAACCAAGAGUUUUAUUUUUGAAUUUGUAGCUGUCGUUCACUUUUUACCCACCCAUUCAAUAAACCUUACAGAAUUGCUCCA